RNAcentral lists this transfer RNA (72 nucleotides) under Capra hircus (goat). It matches the Rfam family "tRNA". From Rfam's summary of the family: Transfer RNA (tRNA) molecules are approximately 80 nucleotides in length. Lineage: Eukaryota; Metazoa; Chordata; Mammalia; Artiodactyla; Bovidae. The record is from Rfam by way of RNAcentral. RNAcentral also lists the same sequence under 1 other name.
UCCCUGGUAGCUUAGACAGUAAAGAAUCUGCCUGCAAUGCAGGAGACCUGGGUUCAAUCCCUGGGUUGGGAA